AGGCUUCUAUAUCCAUGCUGAAGUUUUGUUACAUACCAAACCACUAGAGCUGAUGAGACUCGCAAGAUAAGUGAAGCG
This 78-nucleotide microRNA precursor is filed under the name Schistosoma margrebowiei. Its description in RNAcentral is "mir-3492 microRNA precursor family". It matches the Rfam family "mir-3492 microRNA precursor family". The record is from Rfam by way of RNAcentral. Lineage: Eukaryota; Metazoa; Platyhelminthes; Trematoda; Strigeidida; Schistosomatidae.